This 441-nucleotide ribosomal RNA is filed under the name uncultured bacterium. Its description in RNAcentral is "partial 16S ribosomal RNA". It matches the Rfam family "Bacterial small subunit ribosomal RNA", at positions 338 to 795 of the family's 1533-position model. The record is from RNAcentral.
CCUACGUGAGGCAGCAGUGGGGAAUAUUGCACAAUGGGGGAAACCCUGAUGCAGCAACGCCGCGUGAGUGAGGAAGUAUUUCGGUAUGUAAAGCUCUAUCAGCAGGGAAUAAAAAAGAAGGUACCUGAAAAAUAAGCCCCGGCUAACUACGGGCCAUCAGCCGCGUUAAUACGUAGGGGGCAAGCGUUAUCCGGAUUUACUGUGGUGAAAGGGAGCGUAGACGGAAAGGCAAGUCAGAAGUGAAAGCCCAAGGCUCAACCAUGGGACUGCUUUUGAAACUGGCAAACUAGAGUACGGGAGAGGUAAGAGGAAGUCCUAGUGUAGCGGUGAAAUGCGUAGAUAUUAGGAGGAACACCAGUGGCGAAGGCGUCUUACUGGACCGAAACUGACGUUGAGGCUCGAAAGCGUGGGGAGCAAACAGGAUUAGAUACCCUUGUAGUC